GUAGUUGACUCCGUGGCACGAGGACGACGCUGGCGGCGUGCUUAACACAUGCAAGUCGAACGCUGAAGCCCAGCUUGCUGGGUGGAUGAGUGGCGAACGGGUGAGUAACACGUGGGUAAUCUGCCCCGUACUCCGGGAUAAGCCCGGGAAACUGGGUCUAAUACCGGAUAGGACACGCUAUCGCAUGGUGGUGUGUGGAAAGCUCCGGCGGUACGGGAUGAGCCCGCGGCCUAUCAGCUUGUUGGUGGGGUGAUGGCCUACCAAGGCGACGACGGGUAGCCGGCCUGAGAGGGUGACCGGCCACACUGGGACUGAGACACGGCCCAGACUCCUACGGGAGGCAGCAGUGGGGAAUAUUGCACAAUGGGCGCAAGCCUGAUGCAGCGACGCCGCGUGGGGGAUGACGGCCUUCGGGUUGUAAACCCCUUUCGCCCGGGACGAAGCGUAAGUGACGGUACCGGGAGAAGAAGCACCGGCCAACUACGUG
Molecule: ribosomal RNA, 487 nt
Filed under: uncultured Saccharomonospora sp.
Lineage: Bacteria; Bacillati; Actinomycetota; Actinomycetes; Pseudonocardiales; Pseudonocardiaceae
Description: bacterial SSU rRNA
Rfam family: Bacterial small subunit ribosomal RNA
Source: RNAcentral